GGCAUAAAAGUAGCGUAAGUGAUUUGUUUUUUUAUUGUUUUCAAGUAUGAAUGAAGUUUUUAACAACUUUUUUGUUUUUAUUUUAUUUGAACUAUUUUUUUGAUUAAAAAUUAUUAAUUAAAAUAUAACAAAGAUAAGUCUUCGGAAAUUUUUUUUUAGUAGAUUUUUUUUUUCUAUUAAUAUUUUCUUGGGGAUGGAUUUUAAGAAAUUUUUUUUACUAUUUUUAUUUUUUUAAAUUACUCCGGAGUUAACAGGGUUGUAGACACGUAAAUAGUUUUUUAUAUUAGUGUGCUGCGCUACAUCGAUGUUGUAUAUUUUUUAUUAAGGAGGAGAGAUUGUUUUUUUUUUGAGACUGUUCUUCUUGUA
This 366-nucleotide ribosomal RNA is filed under the name Dirofilaria repens. Its description in RNAcentral is "partial 16S ribosomal RNA". Lineage: Eukaryota; Metazoa; Nematoda; Chromadorea; Rhabditida; Onchocercidae. The record is from RNAcentral.